CCCCGGGCCAUGCCUUAGUACGGCGAGUGAGCGGCAAAAGCUCAAAUUUGAAAUCUGGUACCUUCGGUGCCCGAGUUGUAAUUUGGAGAGGGCAACUUUGGGGCCGUUCCUUGUCUAUGUUCCUUGGAACAGGACGUCAUAGAGGGUGAGAAUCCCGUGUGGCGAGGAGUGCGGUUCUUUGUAAAGUGCCUUCGAAGAGUCGAGUUGUUUGGGAAUGCAGCUCUAAGUGGGUGGUAAAUUCCAUCUAAAGCUAAAUAUUGGCGAGAGACCGAUAGCGAACAAGUACAGUGAUGGAAAGAUGAAAAGAACUUUGAAAAGAGAGUGAAAAAGUACGUGAAAUUGUUGAAAGGGAAGGGCAUUUGAUCAGACAUGGUGUUUUGUGCCCUCUGCUCCUUGUGGGUAGGGGAAUCUCGCAUUUCACUGGGCCAGCAUCAGUUUUGGUGGCAGGAUAAAUCCAUAGGAAUGUAGCUUGCCUCGGUAAGUAUUAUAGCCUGUGGGAAUACUGCCAGCUGGGACUGAGGACUGCGACGUAAGUCAAGGAUGCUGGCAUAAUGGUUAUAUGCCGCCCGUCUUGAACCCACGGACC
RNAcentral lists this ribosomal RNA (586 nucleotides) under Saccharomyces cerevisiae (brewer's yeast). RNAcentral's name for it is "eukaryotic LSU rRNA". It matches the Rfam family "Eukaryotic large subunit ribosomal RNA", at positions 66 to 667 of the family's 3401-position model. The record is from RNAcentral. Lineage: Eukaryota; Fungi; Ascomycota; Saccharomycetes; Saccharomycetales; Saccharomycetaceae.